UACAGAGGUCCCAAGCGUUGUUCGGAUUCACUGGGCGUAAAGGGUGCGUAGGUGGCUUGGCAAGUCUGAUGUGAAAUCUCGGAGCUCAACUCCGAAACUGCAUUGGAUACUGCCGGGCUGGAGGGUCGGAGGGGGGACUGGAAUUCUCGGUGUAGCAGUGAAAUGCGUAGAUAUCGAGAGGAACACCAGUGGCGAAGGCGAGUCCCUGGACGACUCCUGACACUGAGGCACGAAAGCUAGGGGAGCAAACAGG
Molecule: ribosomal RNA, 253 nt
Filed under: uncultured bacterium
Lineage: Bacteria
Description: partial 16S ribosomal RNA
Rfam family: Bacterial small subunit ribosomal RNA
Source: RNAcentral